GCCCGGGUGACGGAACUGGUAUACGUAGUCGACUUAAAAUCGGCGGCCGUAAGGCAUGUGGGUUCGAUUCCCACCCCGGGCACAA
This 85-nucleotide transfer RNA is filed under the name Candidatus Zambryskibacteria bacterium RIFCSPHIGHO2_12_FULL_43_12b. RNAcentral's name for it is "tRNA-Leu". It matches the Rfam family "tRNA". Rfam says of the family: Transfer RNA (tRNA) molecules are approximately 80 nucleotides in length. Their secondary structure includes four short double-helical elements and three loops (D, anti-codon, and T loops). Lineage: Bacteria; Candidatus Zambryskiibacteriota. The record is from RNAcentral.